AACCAGUGAGCGCUCAGCUCCUCUGCUGCAUCCGCCAAUGGAAGCGGGCAACGCAUCUCCAUGGCAAUGGCCUGGCGCUGAGGGCCCGGGCCCUGCUACCCCAUGUACCUGCUGCUUGGGGCCUCGGGCGUGGGCAAGACCCUGCUGGUGAAGCGGCUGCAGAAGCUGUGCUCCAAGGAUGGGUCCCGAGAGCUUGGGGAGCCUCCCCCCACACUGCCCACGGUGGGCACAAAUCUAACUGACCUUCUGAUCCAGAAGAAGAUCACGAUUCGGGAGCUGGGGGGCUGCAUGGGCCCUAUCUGGCCUAGUUACUAUGGAGACUGCAGCUCUGUCCUGUUCAUGAUUGAUGCAGCUAACCCCACCCAGAUCUCUUCAUCCUGCGUCCAGCUCCUGUCACUCCUCUCCGCAGAGCAGCUUGCCUCGGCAUCCGUCCUGAUCCUGUUCAAUAAGAUUGACCUGCCCUGCUACAUGUCCCUGGUGGAGAUGAAAUCACUGUUCCGGAUUCAAGAUAUCAUUUCCUGUGCUAACCAGCCUAUCACUGUGGUGGAGACCAGCGCCCGUGAUGGCACAGGGCUGCCCGACGUGCUGCAAUGGCUUCGUUCCACUCUCAGGGAUCCCAGCUGAAUUUGCUGUGUCCAACUUUGGUGUUUCCUUCCAGCUGACGGGGGCUGACUCUGACUCCAGGCAGCUCACACCUACUCUGUGACCAAGACUAGGAUCCAGGAGCAGGAGAGAGGACAACUUGAUCAUGAUGCAUCUUUCAUGGCGCCCUUUACAUGAGAGGGCGGUGCCAUAGAAGCGUUGGAGAUCAGCACCACCCUGGGCAUCAUCGUAGAAGCAGCAAGUGAUAACUGAGGCUGAAAAGGUGAACUCAGUGGCAUGCAGCGCAUGAGGUCCCUCCGGUGAUUCAUUCCACAGUUGCACAUUAAAGCUCUGCAGGAAGCUUGU
Gopherus flavomarginatus (Mexican gopher tortoise) is the source of this 948-nucleotide RNA transcript. It is a transcript of the gene named ADP ribosylation factor like GTPase 16, with no coding region annotated. The record is from RefSeq and is a predicted model, not a curated record. The transcript has 6 exons. NCBI's taxonomy places the organism in Eukaryota, Metazoa, Chordata, Testudines, Testudinidae.